This is a long non-coding RNA of Nannospalax galili (Upper Galilee mountains blind mole rat), 357 nucleotides long. RefSeq lists it as uncharacterized. NCBI's taxonomy places the organism in Eukaryota, Metazoa, Chordata, Mammalia, Rodentia, Spalacidae. The record is from RefSeq and is a predicted model, not a curated record. The transcript is spliced from 4 exons.
UCUUGAUCUCACUACAAGUGCUGGGAUUAAAGGCAUGCACCAACACACCCAACUACUUUUCCUGUUAAAAACAGCUCUUGUGACCAAGAGUGAAGCAACGGAAAUUGGUGUCCAGCCAGCCCUAGCCCAGGAUCUGUUGGAAACUGAUCACUACUGGACUUAUGCACUUAACUGUCGGGAUGCUCUAUCCAGAGUCUUCUAGUAAUUGCUCUAUUGACACAGACUACCACACCCAGUUGAUGGAGCUGGCCAUCUGAUGAACUUACAGUUUAGACAUCAGCCUUGACCAUGCUGCGCAUCUGCAUUCCAGAACCAGAGAACCAGCGAGUCAUCCAUGUGUGGUGCUGAGCCAGGAAG